AUGAUAAGACAUUCCACCAGGGUUGUGUUGACAGGGUCGACUUUGGCUAGCAUUCGAGAAAGCAUAUCAGAAGCAAAGAGGUUUGUGGUUCAAUUUAUAAUAUUUGCCGCGUUAGAAGAUGAGGGUUGCUAUGAACGACUAUUGGCAGAACAGGCGGGGCUUAAGUUGAAAGAGAAAGGUGAGGUAUAUGAAAGCUACAGCUCUCAGAUGUUCUGGUUAGCAAAAACUUUAUUAGGUCAAGAUGGGUUGUCUAGAGUUGGCUUCAGAUAUCUUCCUGAUAUACUGUGGUAUAAUUAUCUGAUGAAAAGACACGUAAGCGUGAAGAACUUCAAGUGA
Molecule: non-coding RNA, 336 nt
Organism: Vicia faba (fava bean)
Lineage: Eukaryota; Viridiplantae; Streptophyta; Magnoliopsida; Fabales; Fabaceae
Source: the annotation of a GenBank genome assembly